UCGGUUAACAAAAAUUUAUGAUA
RNAcentral lists this non-coding RNA (23 nucleotides) under Arabidopsis thaliana (thale cress). The record is from RNAcentral. Lineage: Eukaryota; Viridiplantae; Streptophyta; Magnoliopsida; Brassicales; Brassicaceae.